UUUCCGUAGGUGAACCUGCGGAAGGAUCAUUAAUGAGUUGUCAUGGGGUUCGAUGCUGGCAGCCAGUUUUUGGAUGCAUGUGCUUGCCCUAACAAUCAUCUUCUUCCAAACACCUGUGCACAUUUUUGAGGGAGUCUUGAGUUGGUUGCCGCUCUUGGAUGAUUCUCUCACAUUCCCUUAAAUCGUUAUACGCUAUUAACAAUGUUGAACGUGCUCUGUGCCGCAAGGCCAUUAAUAUAAUACAACUUUUAACAACGGAUCUCUUGGCUCUC
This 272-nucleotide unclassified non-coding RNA is filed under the name plant metagenome. RNAcentral describes it as "partial contains small subunit ribosomal RNA, internal transcribed spacer 1, and 5.8S ribosomal RNA". The record is from RNAcentral.